AGAGAUGUGUGAUGACGCAUAUCAAUAAGCGGAGGAAAAGGAAACUAACUAGGAUUCCCCUAGUAACGGCGAGUGAAGCGGGAAGAGCUCAAAUUUGAAAUCUUAAAGGGUUUCCCUUGACGAAUUGUAGUUUAAAGAAGUGUUUUCUGUUAGAGAGGUUCGGUAAAAGUUCUUUGGAAUAGGACAUCAUAGAGGGUGAGAAUCCCGUAUUUGACCGUUACUUUCCUAAGCUGUGCGAUACACUUUCAAAGAGUCGGAUUGUUUGGGAAUGCAGUCCAAAGAUGGGUGGUAAAUUUCAUCUAAAGCUAAAUAUUGGCGAGAGACCGAUAGCGAACAAGUACCGUGAGGGAAAGAUGAAAAGAACUUUGAAAAGAGAGUUAAACAGUACGUGAAAUUGUCAAAAGGGAAGCGUUUGACACCAGUGUUGUUUAGUUGAAAAUCAAUUCAAUAGUUUUUGAUUCUAAGUAGUAUUGACUUCAUCAGCUUGCUGCUUUCUUCUCAGAAAUUAUUGAAUGCACUUUUCAGUUAACAAGUCAACAUCAAUUUCUUUUGUUGUAAAAGGGUAAGAGGAAGGUGGCUUGCGCUUCGGCUCAAGUGUUUAUAGCCUUUUAUCUCUGCAAUCGGAGAGAUUGAGGUCUGCAGCGUAGAUCCUUCGGGGUUAGAUACAUUGGUGCUAAGUUAUAGCUUUUCAUAGACAACUUGUUGAUUAUGUUAAGUCUUGUAGCUUACUCGCUUGUGCUAUUUUACCUACGCUUAGGAGUUGACGCAUGAGAUAUACGC
RNAcentral lists this ribosomal RNA (780 nucleotides) under uncultured Neocallimastigales. Its description in RNAcentral is "partial large subunit ribosomal RNA". It matches the Rfam family "Eukaryotic large subunit ribosomal RNA", at positions 23 to 612 of the family's 3401-position model. The record is from RNAcentral. Lineage: Eukaryota; Fungi; Neocallimastigomycota; Neocallimastigomycetes; Neocallimastigales.